RNAcentral lists this ribosomal RNA (253 nucleotides) under uncultured bacterium. RNAcentral's name for it is "partial 16S ribosomal RNA". It matches the Rfam family "Bacterial small subunit ribosomal RNA", at positions 524 to 776 of the family's 1533-position model. The record is from RNAcentral.
GACAGAGGGGGCAAGCGUUGCUCGGAAUUACUGGGCGUAAAGGGCGCGUAGGCGGGAUGGCAAGUCGGUCGUGAAAUCCUUCGGCUCAACCGAAGAACGUCGAUCGAUACUGCUGUUCUUGAGGGUUGCAGAGGAGACUGGAAUUCCCGGUGUAGCGGUGAAAUGUGUAGAGAUCGGGAGGAACACCGGUGGCGAAGGCGGGUCUCUGGGCAAUCCCUGACGCUGAGGCGCGAAAGCGUGGGGAGCAAACGGG